UACGUAGGGCGCAAGCGUUAUCCGGAAUUAUUGGGCGUAAAGAGCUCGUAGGCGGUUUGUCGCGUCUGCCGUGAAAGUCCGGGGCUCAACUCCGGAUCUGCGGUGGGUACGGGCAGACUAGAGUGCAGUAGGGGAGACUGGAAUUCCUGGUGUAGCGGUGAAAUGCGCAGAUAUCAGGAGGAACACCGAUGGCGAAGGCAGGUCUCUGGGCUGUAACUGACGCUGAGGAGCGAAAGCAUGGGGAGCGAACAGGA
Molecule: ribosomal RNA, 254 nt
Filed under: uncultured bacterium
Lineage: Bacteria
Description: partial 16S ribosomal RNA
Rfam family: Bacterial small subunit ribosomal RNA
Source: RNAcentral